AUCGCUUCUCGGCCUUUUGGCUAAGAUCAAGUGUAUAUUUGGUGGGCCUAAUUUCUUUGAGUUAUUUAUGUAUUCUAGAUAUAUAUUCUUAAUAUGUUCUUUAUCUGAGGAACAGUUGGUAAAAACUUUUCCCCACAUUGUAGGCUGUGCCUUAGCCCUCUUGGUGGUGUCUCU
Molecule: small nuclear RNA, 174 nt
Filed under: Fukomys damarensis (Damara mole-rat)
Lineage: Eukaryota; Metazoa; Chordata; Mammalia; Rodentia; Bathyergidae
Description: U2 spliceosomal RNA
Rfam family: U2 spliceosomal RNA
About the family: U2 is a small nuclear RNA (snRNA) component of the spliceosome (involved in pre-mRNA splicing). Complementary binding between U2 snRNA (in an area lying towards the 5' end but 3' to hairpin I) and the branchpoint sequence (BPS) of the intron results the bulging out of an unpaired adenosine, on the BPS, which initiates a nucleophilic attack at the intronic 5' splice site, thus starting the first of two transesterification reactions that mediate splicing.
Source: Rfam by way of RNAcentral